GUGAGGUAACUGCUCACCAAGGCGACGACGGGUAGCUGGUCUGAGAGGACGAUCAGCCACACUGGAACUGGGACACGGUCCAGACUCCUACGGGAGGCAGCAGUGGGGAAUCUUGCACAAUGGGCGCAAGCCUGAUGCAGCGAUGCCGCGUGCGGGAAGAAGGCCCUAGGGUUGUAAACCUCUUUCAGUGGGGACGAAAUUGACGGUACCCACAGAAGAAGCACCGGCCAACUACGUGCCAGCAGCCGCGGUAAUACGUAGGGUGCAAGCAUUGUCCGGAUUUAUUGGGCGUAAAGAGCUCGUAGGCAGCUUAACAAGUCGGCCGUGAAAUACCGAGGCUCAACCUCGGGGAGUCGGUCGAAACUGUUAUAGCUAGAGUACGGUAGAGGAGAGUGGAAUUCUCGGUGUAGCGGUGGAAUGCGCAGAUAUCGAGAGGAACACCAGUAGCGAAGGCGGCUCUCUGGGCCGUUACUGACGCUGAGGAGCGAAAGCAUGGGUAGCAAACAGGAUUAGAUACCCUGGUAGUCCAUGCCGUAAACGUUGGGCACUAGGUGUGGGUCUCAACCAACGAGAUCCGCGCCGUCGCUAACGCAUUAAGUG
This 600-nucleotide ribosomal RNA is filed under the name uncultured Actinomycetes bacterium. Its description in RNAcentral is "bacterial SSU rRNA". It matches the Rfam family "Bacterial small subunit ribosomal RNA", at positions 252 to 866 of the family's 1533-position model. Lineage: Bacteria; Bacillati; Actinomycetota; Actinomycetes. The record is from RNAcentral.